Molecule: long non-coding RNA, 527 nt
Filed under: Citrus sinensis (sweet orange)
Lineage: Eukaryota; Viridiplantae; Streptophyta; Magnoliopsida; Sapindales; Rutaceae
Description: long non-coding RNA (CSIN_LNC000129)
Source: RNAcentral
CCGCUAGAGUUUUGGUGGUGCUCUCAGGAUUACUCGACUUCGAGACUUGGGGUCAAAACUAAACACUGUGCUUUUGAUAACUAAGACAAUGAUUUGAGAGAGAAAGAGAGAGAGAGAGUCGUGAGCCGAAGUCGUUGGCUGUGACGACGAGCUGUGCUAACGUAGAACGGCGUGGAGGAACCUUCGAACUGAGAGGGAUGACUUGAUGGGAGAAGAUGUGGCUGUUAGUAUUUGUUUUGUUUUGCGAAAUUAGGAAUUUGGGGAUCGAAGUCGGGGGCUGCGAUAAUGAGACGUGGUGCGGCGUGGAGGAACCGCCGGCAAGAGGGAUGACCGGAUGAGAGAGGAUAUGGCUGUUAGAGUUUGAAUUUGGGGUUACGGAUCGGCUGAUCAGGUUUGGAGCUUUGUUUUAUGAAAUUGUUUUGUGAAUUUUUUUCCUUUUUUUUUAAGCUUUUAACCAGAUCGGUUUCCUAAUCCCUAAUUGAAUUUUGAAUUGGAAGAUAUAAUUCGUUGGGGUUCUAGGAUUCUUA